ACAUUGGUUUAUACGUUCCUUUUAGUUUCGACUUUAGGGAUAAUUUUUUUCGCUAUCUUCUUCCGAGAACCACCUAAGGUUCCCGUUAUGCUUAUUACUAAACUUGUUGAAGAGAUGAAAUAG
RNAcentral lists this ribosomal RNA (123 nucleotides) under Triticum aestivum (bread wheat). Its description in RNAcentral is "partial small subunit ribosomal RNA". Lineage: Eukaryota; Viridiplantae; Streptophyta; Magnoliopsida; Poales; Poaceae. The record is from RNAcentral.